Molecule: ribosomal RNA, 352 nt
Filed under: uncultured bacterium
Lineage: Bacteria
Description: bacterial SSU rRNA
Rfam family: Bacterial small subunit ribosomal RNA
Source: RNAcentral
AACGAACGCUGGCGGCAGGCCUAACACAUGCAAGUCGAGCGCCCAGCAAUGGGAGCGGCAGACGGGUGAGUAACACGUGGGAACCUUCCCUAUAGUACGGAAUAGCCCAGGGAAACUUGGAGUAAUACCGCAUACGCCCGAGAGGGGAAAGAUUUAUCGCUAUAGGAUGGGCCCGCGUAGGAUUAGCUAGUUGGUGAGGUAAUGGCUCACCAAGGCGACGAUCCUUAGCUGGUCUGAGAGGACGACCAGCCACACUGGACUGAGACACGGCCCAGACUCCUACGGGAGGCAGCAGUGGGAUAUUGGACAAUGGGCGCAAGGCCUGAUCCAGCCAUGCCGUGUGAGUGAUGAA